UCCUUAGACGUUCUGGGCCGCACGCGCGCUACACUGACGAAGGCAACGAGCUUUCCUUUACCGAAAGGUACGGGUAAUCUUUUGAAACUUCGUCGUGCUGGGGAUAGAUCCUUGCAAUUUUUGAUCUUAAACGAGGAAUUCCUAGUAAGCGCAAGUCAUCAACUUGCGUUGAUUACGUCCCUGCCCUUUGUACACACCGCCCGUCGCUACUACCGAUUGAAUGGUUUAGUGAGGCCUUCGGAUCCGCGACUCGUUUUGUGGAGAAGUUGGACAAACUCAGUCAUUUAGAGGAAGUAAAAGUCGUAACA
This 308-nucleotide ribosomal RNA is filed under the name uncultured eukaryote. RNAcentral describes it as "partial 18S ribosomal RNA". It matches the Rfam family "Eukaryotic small subunit ribosomal RNA", at positions 1470 to 1796 of the family's 1831-position model. The record is from RNAcentral.